This 402-nucleotide ribosomal RNA is filed under the name Triticum aestivum (bread wheat). RNAcentral describes it as "partial small subunit ribosomal RNA". Lineage: Eukaryota; Viridiplantae; Streptophyta; Magnoliopsida; Poales; Poaceae. The record is from RNAcentral.
AUGAGGCAGUACUGGUGGGGAGUGGAGAAGGGUAGGAGGAAGAUGGCUUGGUUGAGCUGGGACAAGAUGAGGUUGCCGAAAAAUAAGGGAGGUAUGGGUUUUCGGGACAUGCGAGCUUUCAACCAAGCACUUCUUGCAAAACAGGCAUGGAGGCUAAUUGAGUCUCCUGAUAGUUUGUGUGCUCGAUUGUUAAAAGCAAGAUAUUUCCCCGAUGGCAAUAUUAUUGAUACAGUGUUUACCGAAAGAUCUUCGGCCGUCUGGAAGGGUAUAGCUCAUGGACUGGAGUUGCUAAAGAAAGGUAUAAUUUGGAGAAUUGGCGAUGGUGCUUCGGUAAGAACUUGGAGAGACCCCUGGAUCCCUCGACGAUAUGAUUUUCGCCCUAUUACUCCCAAAAGAAAUUGU